AAACUGAAGAGUUUGAUCAUGGCUCAGAUUGAACGCUGGCGGCAGGCUUAACACAUGCAAGUCGAGCGGUAACAGGUCCAGCUUGCUG
RNAcentral lists this non-coding RNA (88 nucleotides) under Halomonas sp. BC04. RNAcentral describes it as "Bacterial small subunit ribosomal RNA". It matches the Rfam family "Bacterial small subunit ribosomal RNA", at positions 1 to 85 of the family's 1533-position model. The record is from Rfam by way of RNAcentral. Lineage: Bacteria; Pseudomonadati; Pseudomonadota; Gammaproteobacteria; Oceanospirillales; Halomonadaceae.